CAAACGACUCUCGGCAACGGAUAUCUCGGCUCUCGCAUCGAUGAAGAACGUAGCGAAAUGCGANACUUGGUGUGAAUUGCASAAUCCCGUGAACCAUCGAGUCUUUGAACGCAAGUUGCGCCCSAAGCCAUUAGGCAGAGGGCACGUCUGCCUGGGCGUCACA
This 163-nucleotide ribosomal RNA is filed under the name Sanicula moranii. RNAcentral describes it as "5.8S ribosomal RNA". It matches the Rfam family "5.8S ribosomal RNA". From Rfam's summary of the family: 5.8S ribosomal RNA (5.8S rRNA) is a component of the large subunit of the eukaryotic ribosome. It is transcribed by RNA polymerase I as part of the 45S precursor that also contains 18S and 28S rRNA. Lineage: Eukaryota; Viridiplantae; Streptophyta; Magnoliopsida; Apiales; Apiaceae. The record is from RNAcentral.